UACGGGGGGGGCAAGCGUUGUUCGGAAUUACUGGGCGUAAAGGGUUCGUAGGUGGCCAACUAAGUCAGACGUGAAAUCCCUCAGCUUAACUGGGGAACUGCGUCUGAGACUGGAUGGCUUGAGUGCAGGAGAGGAACGCGGAAUUCCAGGUGUAGCGGUGAAAUGCGUAGAUAUCUGGAGGAACACCGGUGGCGAAGGCGGUGAUCUGGGCCGAAACUGACGCUGAGGAGCGAAAGCAUGGGUAGCAAACAGG
Molecule: ribosomal RNA, 253 nt
Filed under: uncultured bacterium
Lineage: Bacteria
Description: partial 16S ribosomal RNA
Rfam family: Bacterial small subunit ribosomal RNA
Source: RNAcentral